CUGAGUAACGCGUGGGUAACCUGCCCUUGAAUUCGGGAUAACUUCGCGAAAGUGAUGCUAAUACCGGAUAUUGUCCUUAGGUCUUUGGUCUUUUGGAUGAAAGGUGACCUCUUCAUGAAAGCUGCCGUUUAAGGAGGGGCUCGCGUACCAUUAGCUUGUUGGUGGGGUAAUGGCCUACCAAGGCGACGAUGGUUAGCUGGUCUGAGAGGAUGAUCAGCCACACUGGAACUGAAACACGGUCCAGACUCCUACGGGAGGCAGCAGUGAGGAAUUUUGCGCAAUGGGGGAAACCCUGACGCAGCAACGCCGCGUGAGUGAAGAAGGCUUUCGGGUCGUAAAGCUCUGUCAGGUGGGAAAAAAGCUUUUCGGUGAAUAGCCGGAAAGUCUGAUGGUACCACCAGAGGGAGCACCGGCUAACUCCGUGCCAGCAGCCGCGGUAAUACGGAGGGUGCUAGCGUUGUUCGGAAUUAUUGGGCGUAAAGAGCGUGUAGGCGGUUUGGUAAGUCAGAUGUGAAAGCCCUGGGCUCAACCUAGGAAGUGCAUUUGAAACUGCCUUACUUGAGUAUGGGAGAGGAGAGUGGAAUUCCCAGUGUAGAGGUGAAAUUCGUAGAUAUUGGGAGGAACACCCGUGGCGAAGGCGACUCUCUGGACCAAUACUGACGCUGAGACGCGAAAGCGUGGGGAGCAAACAGGAUUAGAUACCCUGGUAGUCCACGCCGUAAACGAUGAGAACUAGGUGUAGCGGGUAUUGACCCCUGCUGUGCCGAAGCUAACGCAUUAAGUUCUCCGCCUGGGGAGUACGGCCGCAAGGCUAAACUCAAAGGAAUUGACGGGGGCCCGCACAAGCGGUGGAGCAUGUGGUUUAAUUCGACGCAACGCGAAGAACCUUACCUGGGUUUGACAUCCUCUGACAUCCUGGGAAACCAGGCCUUUCCUGCUUGCAGGAACAGAGUGACAGGUGCUGCAUGGCUGUCGUCAGCUCGUGUCGUGAGAUGUUGGGUUAAGUCCCGCAACGAGCGCAACCCUUGUCUUUAGUUGCCAGUAUUAAGUUAGGCACUCUAAAGAUACUGCCUCGGUUAACGAGGAGGAAGGUGGGGAUGACGUCAAGUCCUCAUGGCCUUUAUAUCCAGGGCUACACACGUGCUACAAUGGGCUGUACAAAGGGUUGCUAUCCCGCGAGGGGGAGCUAAUCUCAAAAAGCAGCUCUCAGUUCGGAUUGGAGUCUGCAACUCGACUCCAUGAAGGUGGAAUCGCUAGUAAUCGCGUAUCAGCAUGACGCGGUGAAUACGUUCCCGGGCCUUGUACACACCGCCCGUCACACCACGAAAGUUGGCUGUACCAGAAGUUGCUGGGCUAACCCCUUCGGGGGAUGCAGGUACCUAAGGUACGGUUAGUAAUUGGGGUGAAGUCGUAACAAGGUA
This 1421-nucleotide ribosomal RNA is filed under the name metagenome. Its description in RNAcentral is "bacterial SSU rRNA". It matches the Rfam family "Bacterial small subunit ribosomal RNA". The record is from RNAcentral.